AGUGAACGCUGGCGGUAGGCCUAACACAUGCAAGUCGAACGGCAGCACAGUAAGAGCUUGCUCUUACGGGUGGCGAGUGGCGGACGGGUGAGGAAUACAUCGGAAUCUACUUUUUCGUUGGGGAUAACGUAGGGAAACUUACGCUAAUACCGCAUACGACCUACGGGUGAAAGCAGGGGAUCUUCGGACCUUGCGCGAUUGAAUGAGCCGAUGUCGGAUUAGCUAGUUGGCGGGGUAAAGGCCCACCAAGGCGACGAUCCGUAGCUGGUCUGAGAGGAUGAUCAGCCACACUGGAACUGAGACACGGUCCAGACUCCUACGGGAGGCAGCAGUGGGGAAUAUUGGACAAUGGGCGCAAGCCUGAUCCAGACAUACCGCGUGGGUGAAGAAGGCAUUCGGGUUGUAAAGACCUUUUGUUGGGAAAGAAAAGCAGCAGGUUAAUACCCCGCUGUUCUGAAGGUACCCAAAGAAUAAGCACCGGCUAACUUCGUG
Molecule: ribosomal RNA, 492 nt
Filed under: uncultured bacterium
Lineage: Bacteria
Description: partial 16S ribosomal RNA
Rfam family: Bacterial small subunit ribosomal RNA
Source: RNAcentral